RNAcentral lists this ribosomal RNA (547 nucleotides) under Fusarium solani. RNAcentral's name for it is "eukaryotic LSU rRNA". The stretch from base 168 to 321 matches the Rfam family "5.8S ribosomal RNA". The record is from RNAcentral. Lineage: Eukaryota; Fungi; Ascomycota; Sordariomycetes; Hypocreales; Nectriaceae.
CUGCGGAGGGAUCAUUACCGAGUUAUACAACUCAUCAACCCUGUGAACAUACCUAAAACGUUGCUUCGGCGGGAACAGACGGCCCUGUAACAACGGGCCGCCCCCGCCAGAGGACCCCUAACUCUGUUUUUAUAAUGUUUUUCUGAGUAAACAAGCAAAUAAAUUAAAACUUUCAACAACGGAUCUCUUGGCUCUGGCAUCGAUGAAGAACGCAGCGAAAUGCGAUAAGUAAUGUGAAUUGCAGAAUUCAGUGAAUCAUCGAAUCUUUGAACGCACAUUGCGCCCGCCAGUAUUCUGGCGGGCAUGCCUGUUCGAGCGUCAUUACAACCCUCAGGCCCCCGGGCCUGGCGUUGGGGAUCGGCGGAAGCCCCCUGUGGGCACACGCCGUCCCUCAAAUACAGUGGCGGUCCCGCCGCAGCUUCCAUUGCGUAGUAGCUAACACCUCGCAACUGGAGAGCGGCGCGGCCAUGCCGUAAAACACCCAACUUCUGAAUGUUGACCUCGAAUCAGGUAGGAAUACCCGCUGAACUUAAGCAUAUCAAAGGCC